RNAcentral lists this ribosomal RNA (440 nucleotides) under uncultured bacterium. RNAcentral describes it as "partial 16S ribosomal RNA". It matches the Rfam family "Bacterial small subunit ribosomal RNA", at positions 338 to 795 of the family's 1533-position model. The record is from RNAcentral.
CCUACGGGAGGCAGCAGUGGGGAAUAUUGCACAAUGGGGGAAACCCUGAUGCAGCGACGCCGCGUGAAGGAAGAAGUAUUUCGGUAUGUAAACCUCUAUUAGCAGGGAAGAAAAUGACGGUACCUGACUAAGAAUCCCCGGCUAACUACGUGCCAGCAGCCGCGGUAAUACGUAGGGGGCAAGCGUUAUCCGGAUUUACGGGGUGUAAAGGGAGCGUAGGUGGUUUGGCAAGGCAGAAGUGAAAGCCCGGGGCUCAACGCCGGGACUGCUUUUGAAACUGUUGAACUAGAUUGCAGGAGAGGAAAGUGGAAUUCCAAGUGUAGCGGUGAAAUGCGUAGAUAUAAGGAAGAACACCAGUGGCGAAGGCGGCUUACUGGACUGUAAAUGACGCUGAGGCUCGAAAGCGUGGGGAGCGAACAGGAUUAGAUACCCCGGUAGUC